RNAcentral lists this ribosomal RNA (351 nucleotides) under uncultured bacterium. RNAcentral describes it as "bacterial SSU rRNA". It matches the Rfam family "Bacterial small subunit ribosomal RNA", at positions 28 to 383 of the family's 1533-position model. The record is from RNAcentral.
GAUGAACGCUAGCGGAAGGCUUAAUACAUGCAAGUCGAGCGGUAGGUGGCUUCGGCCAUUGAGAGCGGCGCACGGGUGAGUAACGCGUACAUGACCUGCCUGUCAGAAGGGGAUAGCCCUGGGAAACUGGGAUUAAUACCCUAUGGUAUUGAUAUUAUGAAUGAUAUCAAUUAAAGUUGAGGCGCUGACAGAUGGAUGUGCGUCUGAUUAGCUAGUUGGUAGGGUAACGGCCUACCAAGGCGACGAUCAGUAGGGGGCGUGAGAGCGUGGUCCCCCACACGGGUACGUGAGACACGGACCCGACUCUACGGGAGGCAGCAGUAAAGGAAUAUUGGUCAAUGCCCGCAAGGU